This 235-nucleotide unclassified non-coding RNA is filed under the name air metagenome. Its description in RNAcentral is "partial contains small subunit ribosomal RNA, internal transcribed spacer 1, and 5.8S ribosomal RNA". The stretch from base 1 to 46 matches the Rfam family "Eukaryotic small subunit ribosomal RNA", at positions 1786 to 1831 of the family's 1831-position model. The record is from RNAcentral.
AAGUCGUAACAAGGUCUCCGUAGGUGAACCUGCGGAGGGAUCAUUACAGAGAACAUCGCCCGCAAGGGUGACUCUCCAACCCCAUGUUAAUUAUACCUUUGUUGCUUUGGCGAGCCGCUUCGGCCACCGGCUCACGCUGGUGAGUGCUCGCCAGAGGACCCAAAACUCUGUUUAUACAUGUCGUCUGAGUACUAUAUAAUAGUUAAAACUUUCAACAACGGAUCUCUUGGUUCUG